RNAcentral lists this ribosomal RNA (253 nucleotides) under uncultured bacterium. Its description in RNAcentral is "partial 16S ribosomal RNA". It matches the Rfam family "Bacterial small subunit ribosomal RNA", at positions 524 to 776 of the family's 1533-position model. The record is from RNAcentral.
GACAGAGGGUGCAAACGUUGUUCGGAAUUACUGGGCGUAAAGCGAGUGUAGGCGGUUUGGUAAGUCGGAUGUGAAAGCCCCGGGCUCAACCCGGGAAGUGCACUCGAUACUGCCAAGCUAGAGUAUCGGAGAGGUUGGUGGAAUUCUCGGUGUAGAGGUGAAAUUCGUAGAUAUCGAGAAGAACACCGGUGGCGAAGGCGGCCAUCUGGACAGAUACUGACGCUGAGACGCGAAAGCGUGGGGAGCAAACAGG